UAGUGGCGGACGGGUGAGUAACGCGUGAGUAACCUGCCUUUCAGAGGGGAAUAACGUUCUGAAAAGAACGCUAAUACCGCAUAACGUACAGUUACCGCAUGGUAGCAGUACCAAAGGAGCAAUCCGCUGAGAGAUGGACUCGCGUCCGAUUAGCUAGUUGGUGGGGUAAAGGCCUACCAAGGCGACGAUCGGUAGCCGGACUGAGAGGUUGAACGGCCACAUUGGGACUGAGACACGGCCCAGACUCCUACGGGAGGCAGCAUG
This 264-nucleotide ribosomal RNA is filed under the name uncultured bacterium. RNAcentral's name for it is "partial 16S ribosomal RNA". It matches the Rfam family "Bacterial small subunit ribosomal RNA", at positions 93 to 353 of the family's 1533-position model. The record is from RNAcentral.